UGAGUAAUCUGCCCUCGACACUGGGAUAACCCGGGGAAACCCGGAUUAAUACCGGAUAGCCUUUCGAGCUCUCGGGCUCGUCAGAAAAGGAUGGCUUCGGCUUUCGGUUGAGGAUGAGCUUGCGGCGGAUUAGCUUGUUGGUGAGGUAACGGCUCACCAAGGCGACAAUCCGUAGCUGGUCUGAGAGGACGAUCAGCCACACUGGGACUGAGACACGGCCCAGACCUCCCGUAGGGACGG
This 240-nucleotide ribosomal RNA is filed under the name uncultured bacterium. RNAcentral's name for it is "partial 16S ribosomal RNA". It matches the Rfam family "Bacterial small subunit ribosomal RNA", at positions 118 to 348 of the family's 1533-position model. The record is from RNAcentral.